Molecule: ribosomal RNA, 771 nt
Filed under: uncultured prokaryote
Description: bacterial SSU rRNA
Rfam family: Bacterial small subunit ribosomal RNA
Source: RNAcentral
UCACGAAGAACUCCGAUUGCGAAGGCAGCUUGCUGGACUGUAACUGACGCUGAGGCACGAAAGCGUGGGGAUCAAACAGGAUUAGNUACCCUGGUAGNNNACGCCGUAAACGAUGAAUGCUAGCUGUNAGCGAUAUACUGUUAGCGGCACAGAGAAAUCGUUAAGCAUUCCACCUGGGGAGUACGCCGGCAACGGUGAAACUCAAAGGAAUUGACGGGGGCCCGCACAAGCGGAGGAACAUGUGGUUUAAUUCGAUGAUACGCGAGGAACCUUACCUGGGCUUAAAUUGCAGUGGAAUAACGUGGAAACAUGUUAGCCUUCGGGCCGCUGUGAAGGUGCUGCAUGGUUGUCGUCAGCUCGUGCCGUGAGGUGUCGGCUUAAGUGCCAUAACGAGCGCAACCCUCAUCGAUAGUUACUAACAGGUUAAGCUGAGGACUCUAUCGAGACUGCCGACGUAAGUCGUGAGGAAGGUGGGGAUGACGUCAAAUCAGCACGGCCCUUACGUCCAGGGCUACACACGUGUUACAAUGGGGGGUACAAAGGGCAGCUACCUGGCGACAGGAUGCUAAUCUCAAAAACCUCUCUCAGUUCGGAUUGGAGUCUGCAACCCGACUCCAUGAAGCUGGAUUCGCUAGUAAUCGCGCAUCAGCCACGGCGCGGUGAAUACGUUCCCGGGCCUUGUACACACCGCCCGUCAAGCCAUGGGAGCCGGGGGGACCUGAAGUAUGCAACCGUAAGGAGCGUCCUAGGGUAAAACUGGUGACUGGGGCU